CAAGCGGUUAAUGUGUUUCACAUUCCACGACAUUCAGUGUUGCGUUUUUCUUGUUUGGGAUUAGAUCCCAGGAAUUGUGAUCAUGAGGCGUCUGAAUUGUUUGCAGGCUGGACAAAGAAAAGCGGUACGUAGCACAAAGUGAAGAACCUCGGAAGAAUAGUUUUAAAUGGAGAAAAGAGGAAGAAACGAAGCUAGGAAAGGGUUUUGAGUGAUUGAUUUGGACACCGUUUCGUAAAAUCUGAUUCGUUCUUAUUCCGUCUCAUGGUCAAUUAAAUUAGCACCAUUCCAUUUCAUAGUUUGAUUGUAGAUUCAAAAUUCAAUGUCUGACACCGUCUUCUUUCCCCAUGAAAUCCUUACGGAAAUCCUUCGCAGACUUCCGCCAAAGUCCCUUCUCAGAUUCACCACCGUCUGCAAGUCAUGGCGCUCUCUCAUCACCCACCCAUUCUUUAUCUCUCUCUACCACCGUCACUCCUCCUUUCUCCUCAUUCAGUUCAGCAACCACUUCAUCCUCCCCCACCGCCUCCACCACCCCUCCACCACCCUCCGCCUCCCCUCCUUACCCCACCAUGAUUACUCCGUCGUUUCCUUCUGCAACGGCCUUGUUUGCGUCGCCUACGGUGAGCACUGCCAAUCUGUCAUCGUCUGCAACCCGUGUAUUCGACGAUUUGUCACCCUCCCCGCUCCCCUUCAGUACCCUUGCUACUACACUUCCAGCGUUGCCUUAGGCUUUGAUUCCAGUAAAUGUGAUUACAAGGUGGUCAGGAUUUCUUGCAUGGUGGAUGAUGAAAGGUUCGGCCUUUCUGCUCCCAAGGUUGAGGUUUUCUCUCUUGCAACUGGGUCUUGGAGGACCCUUGAUCAUGGCAUUGCUCCUGUCUGCUACGUUGCUAGAGAUACUCCCCCUGGAUUUCACGAUGGGCUUGUUCACUGGGUUGCCAAACGCUACGUGGCUGGUGGAUGGUACAAUUUUAUUUUGUCCUUUCACUUUGAGGGUGAGAUGUUUCGUGAAGUUAUGCUGCCAGAGAGCUUGGCUCUUCGUACCUCUUGGGGUAUGAUUAAGGUUGUUGGGGGUGGCAAUGGGAAGACUCUUACUGUGUACGAUGUGGAUGGGGCUUCUCCAUGCUCUUGUAACAUUUGGAUGAUGAAAGAAUAUGGUGAGGUGGAAUCUUGGAACAAGGCCUUUUCUUUUCUUAUGAGCGGAUUUUGCUUGGUAGCACCGUCUUUGGGAAUGAUGAUCACUGACGUGAAAAUUCCACCGAAGGGGUUGUGUGUUACGUGCAGUGGAGAGGUGUUGCUGCUAGUGGAUGUGGCAGAAAGGAGAUGCCUGUAUUCGCUGGACAUAAAGAAGGAAAGUUUUACAGACCUUCAAAUUGAAAUAGGCGCAGGGUUUGUUUAUUGUGGUUAUUAUGCUGAGAGCUUACUUUUACUGAACAUAGCAAAUGGCGUAGUUUCUUAUUGAAGGGGUAACGACAUUCCAAUCUGAUACUUAUGCAGUGUAUGUUAUCAUUCACUUAUCACGUCAACGUUUAUUUUCCACACAUUUUGUUGCUUUCUCGGUGGGAGUUAAACCAUUCCAAGUACAAGGAGUGUAAACCAAGUCUUUAUCUUUGUUUCGUGUUUGUGGAUUCCAAUUACCCAACGGUUUACUGCGAAUACGAUACCUAUUACAACUGAAUCAGACAGGAGAAGGGUUCCUUGUUGGAAGCAGCAACUCCAGAUAGAUUUGAUAACCAUGCUAAUAGAAAUUUCAUCAGACAACCUUAACAGCCGGAGCAUCCUUGAGUUUCGCAGUGCCUAUUGUGUACUUGUGUGAAUUCAGGUUGUUUUAUUUUUAAAUUCCAUUUAAAAAUUUAUGGUAUUGGCAAUAAAUAUUAAUAUGAACAGUUCUGAAAUAAUUGAUCUUUUGAACUACCAAAUAUGAACCUUUUUGAAAA
This is an RNA transcript of Vigna radiata var. radiata (mung bean), 1931 nucleotides long. It is a transcript of the gene named putative F-box protein At3g16210, with no coding region annotated. NCBI's taxonomy places the organism in Eukaryota, Viridiplantae, Streptophyta, Magnoliopsida, Fabales, Fabaceae. The record is from RefSeq and is a predicted model, not a curated record. The transcript is spliced from 4 exons.